RNAcentral lists this ribosomal RNA (433 nucleotides) under uncultured bacterium. RNAcentral's name for it is "partial 16S ribosomal RNA". It matches the Rfam family "Bacterial small subunit ribosomal RNA", at positions 29 to 507 of the family's 1533-position model. The record is from RNAcentral.
AACGAACGCUGGCGGCAUGCCUAACACAUGCAAGUCGAACGAGACCUUCGGGUCUAGUGGCGCACGGGUGCGUACCGCGUGGGAACCUGCCCUUAGGUUCGGAAUAACUCCCCGAAAGGGGUGCUAAUACCGGAUAAUGUCUUCGGACCAAAGAUUUAUCGCCUUUGGAUGGGCCCGCGUUGGAUUAGCUAGUUGGUAGGGUAAAAGCCUACCAAGGCGACGAUCCAUAGCUGGUCUGAGAGGAUGAUCAGCCACACUGGGACUGAGACACGGCCCAGACUCCUACGGGAGGCAGCAGUGGGGAAUAUUGGACGAUGGGCGAAAGUCUGAUCAAGCAAUGCCGCGGAAGUGAUGAAGGCCUUAGGGAUGUAAAGCUCUUUUACCCGGGAUGAUAAUGACAGUACCGGGAGAAUAAGCUCCGGCUAACUCCGUG